UACGAAGGGGGCUAGCGUUGCUCGGAAUUACUGGGCGUAAAGCGCACGUAGGCGGAUUGUUAAGUCGGGGGUGAAAUCCUGGAGCUCAACUCCAGAACUGCCUUCGAAACUGGCGAUCUUGAGUCCGGGAGAGGUGAGUGGAACUGCGAGUGUAGAGGUGAAAUUCGUAGAUAUUAGGAAGAACACCAGUGGCGAAGGCGGCUCACUGGCCCGGUACUGACGCUGAGACGCGAAAGCGUGGGGAGCAAACAGG
This 253-nucleotide ribosomal RNA is filed under the name uncultured bacterium. RNAcentral describes it as "partial 16S ribosomal RNA". It matches the Rfam family "Bacterial small subunit ribosomal RNA", at positions 524 to 776 of the family's 1533-position model. The record is from RNAcentral.